This 1287-nucleotide ribosomal RNA is filed under the name metagenome. RNAcentral's name for it is "bacterial SSU rRNA". It matches the Rfam family "Bacterial small subunit ribosomal RNA", at positions 242 to 1520 of the family's 1533-position model. The record is from RNAcentral.
UAGCUAGUUGGUGAGGUAACGGCUUACCAAGGCGACGAUCUGUAGCGGGUCUGAGAGGAUGAUCCGCCACACUGGAACUGAGACACGGUCCAGACUCCUACGGGAGGCAGCAGUGGGGAAUUUUGGACAAUGGGGGCAACCCUGAUCCAGCCAUGCCGCGUGAGUGAAGAAGGCCUUCGGGUUGUAAAGCUCUUUCGGCCGGGAAGAAAUCGCAUGGGCCAAUACCCUGUGUGGAUGACGGUACCGGAAUAAGAAGCACCGGCUAACUACGUGCCAGCAGCCGCGGUAAUACGUAGGGUGCGAGCGUUAAUCGGAAUUACUGGGCGUAAAGCGUGCGCAGGCGGUUUUGUAAGACAGGCGUGAAAUCCCCGGGCUCAACCUGGGAACUGCGUUUGUGACUGCAAGGCUAGAGUACGGCAGAGGGGGGUGGAAUUCCACGUGUAGCAGUGAAAUGCGUAGAGAUGUGGAGGAACACCAAUGGCGAAGGCAGCCCCCUGGGUCGAUACUGACGCUCAUGCACGAAAGCGUGGGUAGCAAACAGGAUUAGAUACCCUGGUAGUCCACGCCCUAAACUAUGUCAACUAGGUGUUGGGUGGGUAAAACCAUUUAGUACCGUAGCUAACGCGUGAAGUUGACCGCCUGGGGAGUACGGCCGCAAGGUUAAAACUCAAAGGAAUUGACGGGGACCCGCACAAGCGGUGGAUGAUGUGGAUUAAUUCGAUGCAACGCGAAAAACCUUACCUACCCUUGACAUGCCAGGAACUUGCCAGAGAUGGCUUGGUGCCCGAAAGGGAGCCUGGACACAGGUGCUGCAUGGCUGUCGUCAGCUCGCGUCGUGAGAUGUUGGGUUAAGUCCCGCAACGAGCGCAACCCUUGUCGUUAAUUGCCAUCAUUUAGUUGGGCGCUUUAGCGAGACUGCCGGUGACAAACCGGAGGAAGGUGGGGAUGACGUCAAGUCCUCAUGGCCCUUAUGGGUAGGGCUUCACACGUCAUACAAUGGUCGGUACAGAGGGUCGCCAAGCCGCGAGGUGGAGCCAAUCCCAGAAAGCCGAUCGUAGUCCGGAUUGCAGGCUGCAACUCGCCUGCAUGAAGUCGGAAUCGCUAGUAAUCGUGGAUCAGCAUGUCACGGUGAAUACGUUCCCGGGUCUUGUACACACCGCCCGUCACACCAUGGGAGCGGGUUCCGCCAGAAGUAGGUAGCCUAACCGCAAGGAGGGCGCUUACCACGGCGGGGUUCGUGACUGGGGUGAAGUCGAAACAAGGUAGCCGUAGGGGAACCUGCGGCUG